AUUGAACGCUGGCGGCAGGCCUAACACAUGCAAGUCGAACGAGUGGCGGACGGGUGAGUAAUGUCUGGGAAACUGCCCGUUGGAGGGGGAUAACUACUGGAAACGGUAGCUAAUACCGCAUACCAUCGGAUGUGCCCAGAUGGGAUUAGCUAGUAGGUGGGGUAACGGCUCACCUAGGCGACGAUCCCUAGCUGGUCUGCAGGGAUGACCGUACAAAUGGGAACUGAGAAACGGUCCAGACUCCUACGGGAGGCAGCAGUGGGAAAUAUUGCAAAAUGGGCGCAAGCCUGAUGCAGCAAUGCCGCGUGGAUGAAGAAGGCCUUCGGGUUGUAAAGUACUUUCAGCGAGGAGGCGUUACUCGCAGAAGAAGCACCGGCUAACUCCGUGCCAGCAGCCGCGGUAAUAC
Molecule: ribosomal RNA, 406 nt
Filed under: uncultured bacterium
Lineage: Bacteria
Description: partial 16S ribosomal RNA
Rfam family: Bacterial small subunit ribosomal RNA
Source: RNAcentral